Molecule: ribosomal RNA, 253 nt
Filed under: uncultured bacterium
Lineage: Bacteria
Description: partial 16S ribosomal RNA
Rfam family: Bacterial small subunit ribosomal RNA
Source: RNAcentral
UACGGAGGAGGCAAGCGUUAUCCGGAAUCAUUGGGCGUAAAGCGUCCGCAGGUGGCACUUCAAGUCUGUCGUCAAAGACUGGGGCUUAACCCCGGAAAGGCGGUGGAAACUGAAGCGCUAGAGUGCGGUAGGGGUAGAGGGAAUUCCCGGUGUAGCGGUGAAAUGCGUAGAGAUCGGGAAGAACAUCGGUGGCGAAAGCGCUCUACUGGACCGCAACUGACACUCAGGGACGAAAGCUAGGGGAGCGAAUGGG